UCUCCCUGGGCUGUCCCCUGGCCACUGAGCCGGCUAUGCGUCUUUCCAGGCCGGGCCGGGCAGCAGUCCAGGCUGGGGCGGUGGCAGGAGAGCAUUGCUUCCUGGGCCGUCCUUGGGCAGCUGAGCUGGCCACGCAUCUCCUUGGUCCGGGCUGAGCAGCAGUCCUGGCUGGGGGGGGCGGCGGUGGGGGCAUCGCUCCCUGGACUGUCCCCAGGUCGCCAAGCCGGCCACACAUCUCCCCGUGCCGGGCUGGGGACAUUCCUUCCUGGGCCAUCCCCGGGCCACCGAGCCGACCACGUGUCUGCCCGGGCCAGGUGGCAGUCCUAGCUGGGGCGGCGGCAGGGGCAUUGCUUUCUGGGCCAUCCCCGGGCUGCUGAGUCGGUACGCGUCUCCCUAGGCCGGGCUGGGUGGCAGGGGGACAUUGCUUCCUGUGCCGUCCCUGGGUCACUCACCCGGCCAUAUGUCUCCCUGGGCUGGGCAGGCUGCAGCAGGGGGGCAUCACUUCCUGGGCCAUCCCCAGGCCGUUCCCUAGGCAGCCUAGCUCACCAUGCAUCUCCCCGGGCUGGUCCGUGGGGUCCUAGACACCUUUCAGCGACUUUUGCCGCCUCCUGCCUCCCUCCCCUCCCUGCCCCUUUAGCGCCGUCUGCCUUUCUUUCUCUCUCUCUCUCUCCUCAUCUGGAGAGAGGGGGGGCAGAGGAAAGAGAGAGAAAGAGAGAGGGUGACUUGUUCGGGCAAAGAACCAGUGGGGGACAAGGCGAGCUAAGUCAAAAGACAUGGAACUUCCGUGCUAGCUUCUCCCGAAUCCUUGUUAUCCCUGCCACAAACUCAGCUCAUCCGCCCUCACUCUCUCCUCUUCUCUCUCUGCGGACGAGGCUGCUUGCUUCAAAUGGUUUGCUACCGAAGUCCGGGAGCCAGGCAGGCGGAAACAAUAGGACAGAUGGCAGGGCAGCUGCUUUUGCAAGGAGGAACUGCUUGUAAUCUGAUCCUGUAAACAGAGACACUACAAACCCCAGCCUUUCGGAGAACAUGGGACCAUCUUUCUGCUUCUUCAAUAAACUGUAACCUUCCCAAAGCAGUUACCAUGUUGCUGAUUUAUUCCCGGCUUGGAUGAACCAGAAUGAAGACUUAUUUCUGACAGCUCCUUCACAUAUAAUUUUGUACUUACCACUCUAGUCUUCUUCCAAGACAUGACUGGAAAAUACAAGCCACCCUAUUAACCUAUCAAGAAGCUUUCAUAGAAAAGGCAAAAUGUAAUAUAAGAAAUAAAAGUCUCUCUCUCUCUC
Crotalus tigris (Tiger rattlesnake) is the source of this 1283-nucleotide long non-coding RNA. RefSeq lists it as uncharacterized. The record is from RefSeq and is a predicted model, not a curated record. The transcript has 3 exons. NCBI's taxonomy places the organism in Eukaryota, Metazoa, Chordata, Lepidosauria, Squamata, Viperidae.